This 212-nucleotide long non-coding RNA is filed under the name Homo sapiens (human). Its description in RNAcentral is "HSALNT0262524". The record is from RNAcentral. Lineage: Eukaryota; Metazoa; Chordata; Mammalia; Primates; Hominidae.
CAAGGAUCUGCAUGGAUGCCAUAUGGAGAAUGAAGAGGGCAGGUGGCCGGGUGCAGUGGCUCACGCCUGUAAUCCCAACACUUUGGGAGGCCGAGGCGAGUAGAUCACCUGAGGUAAGGAAUUUGAGACCAGCCUGGCCAACAUGAUGAAACCCCAUCUCUACUAAAAAUACAAAAAUGAACUGAGCGUGAUGGCGCCCACCUGUAAUCCUA